ACCUCUUCGUGAAGAGGCGAAGAUACUCAUAUAAGACGAGAAGACCCCAUGGAGCUUAAAACUUAAUAACACCCUCUUACACAAUAAACCAUAAUAAACAAGAGUCCUGUUAGACGUUUUUGGCUGGGGCAUCCAGGGAGAAUAAUCUAACCUCCCUGACGAAUUUACCUUCGAACUACAACUCCAAGGUAUAGAAAACUAAUGUAAUACGACCCGACAAUCGAUCAACGAACCAAGUUACCCUGGGGAUAACAGCGCAAUCCAUUUUGAGAGCCCCUAUCGACAAAUGGGUUUACGACCUCGAUGUUGGAUCAGGGCAUCCCAGUGGUGCAGCCGCUACUAAAGGUUCGUUUGUUCAACGAUUAAAGCCCUACGUGAUCUGAGUUCAGACCGG
This 394-nucleotide ribosomal RNA is filed under the name Phrynobatrachus tokba (Tokba river frog). RNAcentral's name for it is "partial 16S ribosomal RNA". It matches the Rfam family "Bacterial large subunit ribosomal RNA", at positions 2048 to 2619 of the family's 2925-position model. Lineage: Eukaryota; Metazoa; Chordata; Amphibia; Anura; Phrynobatrachidae. The record is from RNAcentral.